AUACCAUGAUGUGGGCAUUGUCUCUUCAUCUCCUUGAAUCUUUCCCAUGACUCUGCCAAAGACUCACCAACCAACUGUCUGAUAUUUUGAAUUGACCUCCUCAUUUUUUGAGUCU
Ipomoea nil (Japanese morning glory) is the source of this 115-nucleotide small nucleolar RNA. It matches the Rfam family "Plant small nucleolar RNA R71". From Rfam's summary of the family: R71 is a member of the C/D box family of snoRNAs containing the C (UGAUGA) and D (CUGA) box motifs. Multiple nearly identical copies of this snoRNA have been identified in Arabidopsis, and it is thought to function as a 2'-O-ribose methylation guide for 18S ribosomal RNA. Lineage: Eukaryota; Viridiplantae; Streptophyta; Magnoliopsida; Solanales; Convolvulaceae. The record is from Rfam.